RNAcentral lists this ribosomal RNA (517 nucleotides) under uncultured bacterium. Its description in RNAcentral is "bacterial SSU rRNA". It matches the Rfam family "Bacterial small subunit ribosomal RNA", at positions 501 to 1016 of the family's 1533-position model. The record is from RNAcentral.
CUACGUGCCAGCAGCCGCGGUAAUACGUAGGUCCCGAGCGUUGUCCGGAUUUAUUGGGCGUAAAGCGAGCGCAGGCGGUUAGAUAAGUCUGAAGUUAAAGGCUGUGGCUUAACCAUAGUACGCUUUGGAAACUGUUUAACUUGAGUGCAAGAGGGGAGAGUGGAAUUCCAUGUGUAGCGGUGAAAUGCGUAGAUAUAUGGAGGAACACCGGUGGCGAAAGCGGCUCUCUGGCUUGUAACUGACGCUGAGGCUCGAAAGCGUGGGGAGCAAACAGGAUUAGAUACCCUAGUAGUCCACGCCGUAAACGAUGAGUGCUAGGUGUUAGACCCUUUCCGGGGUUUAGUGCCGUAGCUAACGCAUUAAGCACUCCGCCUGGGGAGUACGACCGCAAGGUUGAAACUCAAAGGAAUUGACGGGGGCCCGCACAAGCGGUGGAGCAUGUGGUUUAAUUCGAAGCAACGCGAAGAACCUUACCAGGUCUUGACAUCCCUCUGACCGCUCUAGAGAUAGAGUUUUC